AAAAUAAAAUAAAAAGCAAAAUAUACUGAUUAUAAUGAUGACCUCAUAAUUUGAAUAUCAACUAUGGUUGUUUUCUUAUUCUCACAGCUUUGCAAUUUUGAGACUGUGUAGGCCUAAUAUAAACAGAUGAGAGGGAUGAUCACCUCAAUGAGAAGAAAGAAGAAAAAGAUGGAGGUUUAAUAAGAGAUGGUCUCCUCUGAAUUUCCUAAAUGUACUACAUUUCUCAAGUCCAUCUUGGUAAAGUAUUAGAAAGCUGCAUGAUUUUUGAAUUAGACCCUAACAACGUUGGCUUGAAUAUACAUUGAGAUCAUUCAAAGAGUUGUGGCUUCCAGUUUUUAGCUGCGAAUUUCCAAUGAAGAUUAUAUGAGAUUGACAUGCUCCCUGCUGCACCAAGAAGAUUCUGGCACCACAAACAUUAUUAUAGGAGUGAGAAAAGAAGAUGUGGACAGAGAGAAAGAAGCUACGCCUCUGUUCACGCGAAAUCCUCUUGCAAACUGCUCAUGUUCUACCUCCAUCUCACUGACCUUAGAAUGAAGGAUGAAACCACGCCUUCCUCGCCCCUCCGUCUUGUAGCCUGUGGUAGCUAGAAAUCUAUCUGCGGUUUCAGUGGCCUAGCAACCUUGACCCGUCCUCCCAGAGCCUCCAGCUCUCCCUAACAGCUGUACUUCUGUAAUCUCACCUGGCAUUUCCUGACAAUGAGAAGUUGCCCCAUAGAAAAGAAACAAUAUAAAAGUGAAAGCAGAGCCUACUUCGGGGCUUUUAGGAUGCGAAUCCCUUGCAGAGCUAAGGGCAAUAAAGUCACUUCUUGAACCUCUUCUGUGUCUGAGUGCUGUGUCCAGGAUCCCCC
Molecule: long non-coding RNA, 847 nt
Filed under: Chinchilla lanigera (long-tailed chinchilla)
Lineage: Eukaryota; Metazoa; Chordata; Mammalia; Rodentia; Chinchillidae
Description: lncRNA (ENSCLAG00000024367.1)
Source: RNAcentral